Molecule: ribosomal RNA, 253 nt
Filed under: uncultured bacterium
Lineage: Bacteria
Description: partial 16S ribosomal RNA
Rfam family: Bacterial small subunit ribosomal RNA
Source: RNAcentral
UACGGAGGGGGCAAGCGUUAUUCGGAAUUAUUGGGCGUAAAGGGCGCGUAGGCGGCUAGAUGUGUCAAAGGUGAAAUCCCUCGGCUCAACUGAGGAACUGCCUUUGAAACUGUCUGGCUUGAGUCCGGGAGAGGGUAGCGGAAUUCCCAGUGUAGCGGUGAAAUGCGUAGAUAUUGGGAGGAACACCAGUGGCGAAGGCGGCUGCCUGGACCGGUUCUGACGCUGAGGCGCGAAAGCGUGGGUAGCAAACAGG